AAAUGAAAAGAGCAAAUCUAGAGUGAUCUAGAGACGCAAAGCUAAAGGGUCUCCCCGAGACAGCCAGCUGCCAUG
RNAcentral lists this non-coding RNA (75 nucleotides) under Mycoplasmatota bacterium. Its description in RNAcentral is "Tenericutes bacterium c-di-GMP sequence". It matches the Rfam family "c-di-GMP-I riboswitch aptamer". From Rfam's summary of the family: GEMM was predicted in a large-scale screen for bacterial structured RNA regulatory elements. Genes associated with GEMM are involved in a diverse array of functions, including chemotaxis regulation, signal transduction, secretion and chitin. Lineage: Bacteria; Bacillati; Mycoplasmatota. The record is from RNAcentral.